This 1041-nucleotide long non-coding RNA is filed under the name Musa acuminata (dwarf banana). RNAcentral describes it as "long non-coding RNA (MACU_LNC011012)". Lineage: Eukaryota; Viridiplantae; Streptophyta; Magnoliopsida; Zingiberales; Musaceae. The record is from RNAcentral.
GUUUGGAAAAUUGCAAAGCAUGGAAGGAUCUUUCUUGUCUUGGACAGCUACCGAAUCUCAAGAACCUUUACGUGGGGGGAAUGCCUGCAGUGAAACAAAUAAGUCAUAGAUUAAGUACAGAGAGCAAGUUCUUGCCUAAUCUGGAAAGGCUAGUGCUGAAGGACAUGAUGGCACUGGAGGAACUCCCGAGUCUUGGACAACUGCCGAGUCUCAAGGUUCUUCGCAUCGAGAGAAUGCCAGCAGUGAAGAAGGUGGGCUAUGGAUUCUUUGGUUCUAGAGACCAAGGCAAGUGUCUUCCUAGCUUGGAGAAGCUCAAGUUCAGGGACAUGCCAGAAUUGGAAGAGUGGUCUUGGGCCGAUGGUCGACGGCUGUUUCCCUGCUUGCGAAUUCUUGAAAUUGUAGAAUGCCUGAGGCUUAAGAGGUUGCCACCCCUCCCUCCAGUUGAAACAUUAAGAUUAGAUAAAGUCGGAUUGACAGAAGUUGCAGGGUUACGGGAAGGAAUCCAUGGAGGCGACAGUUGUAUAACUGCUUCUCUUUCAUCAAUGGAAAUAAGUCAAUGUCUAAAUCUAAGAAAUCUGGAAGAAGGGUUGCUAUCGCACAGCUUCCCAAAUAUCGGUGACAUUGCGAUCUUGGAAUGUGCGGAACUCGUGUUGCUGCCGGAGAAGGAGUUUAAAGAACUCACCUCCCUUAAGAAGUUGUCAAUCCGCAGUUGCCCGAAGCUCUUGAGCAUGACGCGAGAUGGGGACAUUGACAUCCCCCUCCCACCCUCGAUCGAGGAACUAGUGCUGUUUGACUGUGGGAAUAUGUGAAAAUUACUACCGGGCUGCCUGCACAACUUGACCUCACUCACUCGAUUGGAAAUAGGCGACUGCCGGUGCAUAGAGUCUCUUCCAGCAACGUCGCUGCUUCACCUGAAACGACUUCAAUAUCUGAAAUUUUGGAAAUGUGGUGAGCUGAGAUCAAAAGACGAGUUGUUGCUGAAUGAAGGGAUCAAGCAAGUGGAGGGUUCGUCGGUAACUGAAUUAUACAUCGACGGCACAG